RNAcentral lists this ribosomal RNA (959 nucleotides) under Vibrio parahaemolyticus. RNAcentral's name for it is "partial 23S ribosomal RNA". It matches the Rfam family "Bacterial large subunit ribosomal RNA", at positions 607 to 1572 of the family's 2925-position model. The record is from RNAcentral. Lineage: Bacteria; Pseudomonadati; Pseudomonadota; Gammaproteobacteria; Vibrionales; Vibrionaceae.
UUUGUAUAAUGGGUCAGCGACUUAUAUUCAGUGGCAAGGUUAACCAUCUAGGGGAGCCGUAGGGAAACCGAGUCUUAACUGGGCGUUCAGUCUCUGGAUAUAGACCCGAAACCAGGUGAUCUAGCCAUGGGCAGGUUGAAGGUUGAGUAACAUCAACUGGAGGACCGAACCGACUAAUGUUGAAAAAUUAGCGGAUGACUUGUGGCUAGGGGUGAAAGGCCAAUCAAACCUGGAGAUAGCUGGUUCUCCCCGAAAGCUAUUUAGGUAGCGCCUCGGACGAAUACUACUGGGGGUAGAGCACUGUUAAGGCUAGGGGGUCAUCCCGACUUACCAACCCUUUGCAAACUCCGAAUACCAGUAAGUACUAUCCGGGAGACACACGGCGGGUGCUAACGUCCGUCGUGGAGAGGGAAACAACCCAGACCGCCAGCUAAGGUCCCAAAUUACUACUAAGUGGGAAACGAUGUGGGAAGGCUCAGACAGCCAGGAUGUUGGCUUAGAAGCAGCCAUCAUUUAAAGAAAGCGUAAUAGCUCACUGGUCGAGUCGGCCUGCGCGGAAGAUGUAACGGGGCUAAGUAGUAAACCGAAGCUGCGGCAAUACUCUUUGAGUAUUGGGUAGGGGAGCGUUCUGUAAGCGGUUGAAGGUGUGUGGUAACGCAUGCUGGACGUAUCAGAAGUGCGAAUGCUGACAUGAGUAACGAUAAAGGGGGUGAAAAACCUCCUCGCCGGAAGACCAAGGGUUCCUGUCCAACGUUAAUCGGGGCAGGGUAAGUCGACCCCUAAGGCGAGGCCGAAAGGCGUAGUCGAUGGGAAACGGGUUAAUAUUCCCGUACUUCUUACAAUUGCGAUGGGGGGACGGAGAAGGCUAGGUGGGCCUGGCGACGGUUGUCCAGGUUCAAGUGCGUAGGCUUAAGAGUUAGGUAAAUCCGGCUCUUUCUAAGGCUGAGACACGACGUCGA